AUGCACGCUGGCGGCGUGCCUAAUACAUGCAAGUCGCGCGAACAGACGAGGAGCUUGCUCCUCUGACGUUAGCGGCGGACGGGUGAGUAACACGUGGAUAACCUACCUAUAAGACUGGGAUAACUUCGGGAAACCGGAGCUAAUACCGGAUAAUAUAUUGAACCGCAUGGUUCAAUAGUGAAAGACGGUUUUGCUGUCACUUAUAGAUGGAUCCGCGCCGCAUUAGCUAGUUGGUAAGGUAACGGCUUACCAAGGCAACGAUGCGUAGCCGACCCGAGAGGGUGAUCGGCCACACUGGAACUGAGACACGGUCCAGACUCCUACGGGAGGCAGCAGUAGGGAAUCUUCCGCAAUGGGCGAAAGCCUGACGGAGCAACGCCGCGUGAGUGAUGAAGGUCUUCGGAUCGUAAAACUCUGUUAUUAGGGAAGAACAAAUGUGUAAGUAACUAUGCACGUCUUGACGGUACCUAAUCAGAAAGCCACGGCUAACUACGUG
RNAcentral lists this ribosomal RNA (496 nucleotides) under uncultured bacterium. Its description in RNAcentral is "partial 16S ribosomal RNA". It matches the Rfam family "Bacterial small subunit ribosomal RNA", at positions 29 to 507 of the family's 1533-position model. The record is from RNAcentral.